GUCGGCGACCAUAUCACAUUGAAAGCACCGGUUCUCGUCUGAUCACCGCAGUUAAGCAACGUUGGGCCCGGUCAGUACUUGCAUGGGUGUCUGGCUGGGAAUACCGGGUGUCGCCGGCU
Molecule: ribosomal RNA, 119 nt
Filed under: Schistosoma mattheei
Lineage: Eukaryota; Metazoa; Platyhelminthes; Trematoda; Strigeidida; Schistosomatidae
Source: RNAcentral